AUGCUUCUCCUAAAGACUAAGCCAUGCAUGCCCUGAAUAAGAGGAAGCAAUUCUCUCUGAAUCUGCGAACGGCUCCGCAAACCAGUUGUAAACUAAGAGCAAGCAAGUCUGGCGGGCUUCGGCCUCCGAGACGAUAUAGAUAACCCUGGUAAUUCUGAGGCUAAUACAUGACCGCAAAACCGGGCAGCCCAGCAAUGGAUGCUCGGGGAUGUGCGAUAUGGCUUGACUAUGACCGGGAAAGGGCG
Molecule: ribosomal RNA, 245 nt
Filed under: uncultured Lamproderma sp.
Lineage: Eukaryota; Evosea; Eumycetozoa; Stemonitida
Description: partial 18S ribosomal RNA
Rfam family: Eukaryotic small subunit ribosomal RNA
Source: RNAcentral